GAUGAAGAACGUAGCGAAAUGCGAUACGUAAUGUGAAUUGCAAAUUCAGUGAAUCAUCGAGUCUUUGAACGCACAUUGCGCCCCCUGGUAUUCCGGGGGGCAUGCCUGUCCGAGCGUCAUUGCUGCCCUCAAGCACGGCUUGUGUGUUGGGCCCCGUCCUCCGAUCCCGGGGGACGGGCCCGAAAGGCAGCGGCGGCACCGCGUCCGGUCCUCGAGCGUAUGGGGCUUUGUCACCCGCUCUGUAGGCCCGGCCGGCGCUUGCCGAUCAACCCAAAUUUUUCUCCAGGUUGACCUCGGAUCAGGUAGGGAUACCCGCUGAACUUAAGCAUAUCAAUAAGCGGAGGA
RNAcentral lists this unclassified non-coding RNA (345 nucleotides) under soil metagenome. RNAcentral describes it as "partial contains 5.8S ribosomal RNA, internal transcribed spacer 2, and large subunit ribosomal RNA". The stretch from base 1 to 119 matches the Rfam family "5.8S ribosomal RNA", at positions 35 to 154 of the family's 154-position model. The record is from RNAcentral.